RNAcentral lists this non-coding RNA (23 nucleotides) under Xenopus tropicalis (tropical clawed frog). Lineage: Eukaryota; Metazoa; Chordata; Amphibia; Anura; Pipidae. The record is from RNAcentral. RNAcentral also lists the same sequence under 2 other names.
GUGAAAUGUUUAGGACCACUUGA